This 301-nucleotide ribosomal RNA is filed under the name uncultured bacterium. RNAcentral describes it as "partial 16S ribosomal RNA". It matches the Rfam family "Bacterial small subunit ribosomal RNA", at positions 509 to 809 of the family's 1533-position model. The record is from RNAcentral.
CAGCAGCCGCGGUAAUACGAAGGGGGCUAGCGUUGUUCGGAUUUACUGGGCGUAAAGGGCGCGUAGGCGGACUGAUAAGUCAGGGGUGAAAUCCCAAGGCUCAACCUUGGAACUGCCUUUGAUACUGUUUGUCUUGAGUUCGAGAGAGGUAAGUGGAACUGCGAGUGUAGAGGUGAAAUUCGUAGGUAUUCGCAAGAACACCGGUGGCGAAGGCGGCUUACUGGCUCGAAACUGACGCUGAGGCGCGAAAGCGUGGGGAGCAAACAGGAUUAGAUACCCCAGUAGUCCCUGUCUCUUAUAA